Molecule: ribosomal RNA, 494 nt
Filed under: uncultured bacterium
Lineage: Bacteria
Description: partial 16S ribosomal RNA
Rfam family: Bacterial small subunit ribosomal RNA
Source: RNAcentral
GACGAACGCUGGCGGCGUGCUUAACACAUGCAAGUCGAACGGUGAAGCGCCUUUCUUUUUGGUGGGCGUGGAUGAGUGGCGAACGGGUGAGUAACACGUGAGUAACCUGCCCCCUUCUUCUGGAUAACCGCAUGAAAGUGUGGCUAAUCUGGGAUAUUCUGGGUCUGUCGCAUGUUGGGUCUGGGAAAGAUAUUGUUUCGGUGGGGGAUGGGCUCGCGGCGUAUCAGCUUGUUGGUGAGGUGAUGGCCUACCAAGGCGGUGACGGUUAGUCGGCCGGGGAGGAGGGACCGCCACACUGGUAAGACAACACCGAGAAUACUACGGGGGGAGGCAGCAGGGGAUAAUGGUGCACAAUGGGAGCAAUGCUGAUGCAGCGACGCCUCGGGAGGGAUGGUCGCCUGCGUGUUAUGAACCUCAUUCGCCAAUGAAGCACACCUGCCUCGUAUGUUGGUGGGUUGACGGUAGCUAGAUAAGAAGCGCCGGCUAACUACGUG